Molecule: ribosomal RNA, 711 nt
Filed under: Triticum aestivum (bread wheat)
Lineage: Eukaryota; Viridiplantae; Streptophyta; Magnoliopsida; Poales; Poaceae
Description: partial small subunit ribosomal RNA
Source: RNAcentral
AUGCAGAGACUAAAUGCCAGGUUUUAUUUUUGUGAAGCGCUUUGCACUCUUCUUCCAUGGCCUUCUUCCACCGUGGAUCAUGCAAAGCUUCUGCUACAGUAUGUGGAACAGUAUCUGCAUCAUGAGUGUUACAGGCAUAGCCAAAUUUUGCCAUAUGUUUGUAGUUUUUGGGUUGGAUUACUCCCCUUUGAAGUCUGGUCCGAGAUGGCGAAGAGGCAGGCACAGAAGAUCCAGCGCCUGGAACAGCUGCAGAUCCCGAAGACGAUCUGUCGGGGGCCUCAGGCGUGGGCGACGAGGCGGGAUCUUCUGCGGCCAGAGGGCGUGACAUACUGGAGGAUGAGGGCACAGAAGAUCCCACAGCUGCGCCAGCCGAAGCAUCCGGCUCAUGAUGGGGCGAUGAUGAGUGGGCCCCAGCAGAUGCGGCGCGGGACUCCACGCCCGGAUCCUGCCGAGGCGCGCGCCGCGUGUAGUGACGCGGUUCGAGGCCGAACCGACCAGACGCAGGCAGCGCGUGGUCCAUCCGCGCGGGCGCGCCGGGAUUGGUCGGGCCGCUGCUGUCGUGGCAUGGAGCAGGACCGCGACUGUCGUGGAGUGGCGCGGGGCUCGGUGCAGAUUCGUCUGUCCCAUCACGCCCGGAUCCCGGGGCUGAUGCGCCCUGAUCCCGAGACGAAUCUGCCUCGAUGGCGCUGCUGCUGCAUCCAGGAGGCAUAA